This 465-nucleotide ribosomal RNA is filed under the name uncultured bacterium. Its description in RNAcentral is "partial 16S ribosomal RNA". It matches the Rfam family "Bacterial small subunit ribosomal RNA", at positions 28 to 507 of the family's 1533-position model. The record is from RNAcentral.
GACGAACGCUGGCGGCGUGCUUAACACAUGCAAGUCGAACGGAAAGGCCCCUUUGGGGGUACUCGAGUGGCGAACGGGUGAGUAACACGUGAGUAACCUGCCCUUGACUUCGGGAUAACUUCAGGAAACUGGGGCUAAUACCGGAUAGGAAUCCUUGCUGCAUGGUGGGGGUUGGAAAGCUUCGGCGGUUUUGGAUGGACUCGCGGCUUAUCAGCUUGUUGGUGGGGUAGUGGCUUACCAAGGCUUUGACGGGUAGCCGGCCUGAGAGGGCGACCGGCCACAGUGGGACUGAGAUACGGCCCAGACUCCUACGGGAGGCAGCAGUGGGGAAGAUUGCACAAUGGGCGGAAGCCUGAUGCAGCAACGCCGCGUGCGGGAUGACGGCCUUCGGGUUGUAAACCGCUUUCAGCAGGGGCGAAGCUUGUGGUGACGGUACCUGCAGAAGAAGCACCGGCUAACUACGUG